GAUGAACGCUGGCGGCGUGCCUAAUACAUGCAAGUCGAGCGAACAGACGAGGAACUUGCUCCUCUUACGUUAGCGGCGGACGGGGGAGUAACACGUGGAUAAACUACCUAUAAGACUGGGAUAACUUCGGGAAACCGGAGCUAAUACCGGAUAAUAUAUUGAACCGCAUGGUUCAAUAGUGAAAGACGGUUUUGCUGUCACUUAUAGAUGGAUCCGCUCCGCAUUAGCUAGUUGGUAAGGUAACGGCUUACCAAGGCAACGAUGCGUAGCCGACCUGAGAGGGUGACCGGCCACACUGGAACUGAGACACGGUCCAGACUCCUACGGGAGGCAGCAGUAGGGAAUCUUCCGCAAUGGGCGAAAGCCUGACGGAGCAACGCCGCGUGAGUGAUGAAGGUCUUCGGAUCGUAAAACUCUGUUAUUAGGGAAGAACAAAUGUGUAAGUAACUAUGCACGUCUUGACGGUACCUAAUCAGAAAGCCACGGCUAACUACGUG
RNAcentral lists this ribosomal RNA (497 nucleotides) under uncultured bacterium. Its description in RNAcentral is "partial 16S ribosomal RNA". It matches the Rfam family "Bacterial small subunit ribosomal RNA", at positions 28 to 507 of the family's 1533-position model. The record is from RNAcentral.